Molecule: non-coding RNA, 70 nt
Organism: Dipodomys ordii (Ord's kangaroo rat)
Lineage: Eukaryota; Metazoa; Chordata; Mammalia; Rodentia; Heteromyidae
Source: Rfam
GGGAAUGUGGCUUAGUGGUAGAGUGCUUGCCUAGCAUGCAUGAAGCUUUGGGUUCGAUUCCUCAGUACCA